UGGGGGAUAUUGGACAAUGGGCGAAAGCCUGAUCCAGCAAUGCCGCGUGAGUGAUGAAGGCCCUCGGGUCGUAAAGCUCUUUUACCAGGGAUGAUAAUGACAGUACCUGGAGAAUAAGCUCCGGCUAACUCCGUGCCAGCAGCCGCGGUAACACGGAGGGAGCUAGCGUUGUUCGGAAUUACUGGGCGUAAAGCGCGCGUAGGCGGCUACUCAAGUCAGAGGUGAAAGCCCGGGGCUCAACCCCGGAACUGCCUUUGAAACUAGGUGGCUAGAAUCUUGGAGAGGUCAGUGGAAUUCCGAGUGUAGAGGUGAAAUUCGUAGAUAUUCGGAAGAACACCAGUGGCGAAGGCGACUGACUGGACAAGUAUUGACGCUGAGGUGCGAAAGCGUGGGGAGCAAACA
Molecule: ribosomal RNA, 402 nt
Filed under: uncultured prokaryote
Description: bacterial SSU rRNA
Rfam family: Bacterial small subunit ribosomal RNA
Source: RNAcentral